Heterocephalus glaber (naked mole-rat) is the source of this 554-nucleotide long non-coding RNA. The record is from Ensembl. NCBI's taxonomy places the organism in Eukaryota, Metazoa, Chordata, Mammalia, Rodentia, Bathyergidae.
CCGGAGCCCAGCGCUGGCGGGGCAAAGGCGGUGUUCAGGGUCCCAAGCAACGCCACGCGAGCAUAUGCUGGCUUUGGCACUGCAAGGUUACUCGCAGGGUCCUGGAAUGUUUCCUUGUACUCUUCUUUUGGGGUAUAGAGAAUGCCUUAAAAAGCAGCGUCCCAAAUUUAAACACAUCGAACAGGAACUUCCGGAAUACUUUGCAACUUACCAGUUUGUAUGCUGCUAUACUAUAGAGUGCAAAUGGCCAAUAUGUACCCAUCUAACAAAGCGAACAGUUACCGCUCACUGCGAAAGAUGAAGAGGAAGGGUCCAGACAAAGCCAAGGCAACUAUCCAUUGGUCAACUGGAAAAGAACGAAGCACAAAGGCCAAAUGUUCAGUCAUGUCUUAGUGUUUCCAAUUCUUACACAUUUGGCAAAUGCACGUGAAAUGCUGCACAUUACACACACCUGCCAUCAAGUCGGUGAAUAUACCUGUCUCAUGUUCAGUGGAAAAAAAGCACUAGCUUUACAGUUGAAAAACAUGGUAGAAAAUCAGAAUAUUUAAGAUAAG